This 253-nucleotide ribosomal RNA is filed under the name uncultured bacterium. Its description in RNAcentral is "partial 16S ribosomal RNA". It matches the Rfam family "Bacterial small subunit ribosomal RNA", at positions 524 to 776 of the family's 1533-position model. The record is from RNAcentral.
UACGUAGGGUCCGAGCGUUGUCCGGAAUUAUUGGGCGUAAAGAGCUCGUAGGCGGCUUGUCACGUCGGGUGUGAAAGCCCGGGGCUUAACCCCGGGUCUGCAUUCGAUACGGGCUGGCUAGAGUGUGGUAGGGGAGAUCGGAAUUCCUGGUGUAGCGGUGAAAUGCGCAGAUAUCAGGAGGAACACCGGUGGCGAAGGCGGAUCUCUGGGCCAUUACUGACGCUGAGGAGCGAAAGCGUGGGGAGCGAACAGG